CGCUAGCGAUUGGAUGAUGGUUCCCGUGCCUAUGGCCGGGAUGAAAAGGGAACACGGUGCGGUCCGACCCGGAACUCCGGAGCGGGCCAAUGCCGGGACUGCCCCCGCAACUGUAGGCGGAGAGCGAUGCCGAGAUGCCACUGACCGCAAGGUUGGGAAGGUCGGCAAAGCAACGACCCGCAAGUCAGGAGACCUGCCAUCAAACGUGAAACCGA
Molecule: non-coding RNA, 215 nt
Filed under: Ruegeria lacuscaerulensis
Lineage: Bacteria; Pseudomonadati; Pseudomonadota; Alphaproteobacteria; Rhodobacterales; Roseobacteraceae
Source: RNAcentral